GUACUGCAGGCAUGAAGAAGCCAGCCUGCAACAUGUAGAGGGUGCAGGAAGGUGAUUGACUCGUGUUAUCAUGCAAGCAGAUUUUCUUAGUUUUUCUGUCCUCAGUAAGAAUUGUUCUAUGAGUUUAGGAUUGGCAUACUAAAUGUUUAUGCCUUGAAUUUGUGGAUUCUUUUAGUAAGAUCAGAGUGAACUGCUUCUUCAGUGCUUUUCUUUGCAGUUCGUCUCCCGCCUGCCAGUUCUUAAUGCAACCCCAGCUAGCUUUUUACAUGUGGUACUGCUGUUGCUCAUCACGUCUUCCUGCUGGACUCCCUGUGUGAGGAAUGUGUCUAACUUUAAUUUCAGAGUAACAGCUCAGUUCCUCCAGAAUGAAACACCAAUGCAAUUAUAGGCCAGAGGUGCAAAUGCCCCUUGCCUUGGGAGAAACAGGCUUCGUCCAUCAAUUAGAGGCAUUUAACGGUUCCCAAGGUAAUUUAAAUGUUUGCAGCCAGUAAUGACAGCUAAUUCUCACUCUUUCAGUCUGAAGGAGCUAUGGUACUGCUUACCCUGUAAGUCUCUUCACAUCUCUCCAGGUGGUCAAGACCCAUAAUGCUGACCUAGGCAGUUGCAGUUCUAUGCCAAGAUGUAUUCUGUUAUAGUUAAACUAUACUUUGUUGGAACUAGCUUGUCUUCAUUGUGCGUAAAACGUUCAUGCUUCCACUUGCUGUAAUAAUAAAACACUUCAUAUUAAUCCUUUGCAGUUAAUGGAAACCAACUAUAGAAAUAGUUCUAAGUUUUCUAUCCAAAACAGUAGGUAUGAUACAGCUAAUUCAAAAAUGUCUAUGCUGUUAAGAUGCUAGUUUUGAUUGAAACCAUUUGUAAUAGUAAAAUGGCCUUACUGUUUUUAUAAGUUGACUUGUAUCCAUUAAGUUCAAAUAUCUCUUUUAGAAAUAUCUCUUCUAGAAAGCUUUUUGGAUUAUUAGAGUAUAAAAAAAGAAGUGUCCUAUACUCAUAACAUAGAAAUGUUAUGUUUGUGUUUUUAUUUUAAUGCACCUGUACUUUUAAUAAAUGAUUCCAAGUUGAGGACUAAAAUGACAGAACACUCCCUUAGUCUUGAUUUGGUGUAAGAGAGUAGUUUAUUCCUUAUUUAGAAGCAAUAUUUUUUUUGGAAGCUAUUAAAUUGACAGUGUAUCACAUUCAAUAUAUUUAUACUAAUCUGCUACCUCAAGACGACCUUCAUCUCUCUCCUAUUACUAGUUAAGCUUAUAUGGUUUGAAACUGUUAACGUAAAAUCAUUGAAAAAACAAACAAACUAUUUUCUUAUAUAUUUUUUUGUUAACCUAGAGCUUGAACUGCUGGUUUAAUCCACUAUCAUAGAUAGUCUCAACUUUCUCAGUUUAUGUUAAGUUGGUGUGACUUAUGCUUGCAGUGGUUGCUCUUUGGAAGUGAGUGAGCAUCAAUCAGCGUGACCAGUGUGUAUGAAUAACAACCAAGAAAUCAUAGAAGCUACGCCAGUGCUUAACAAUAAUCUUGAGAAGUGUCCAACUAUCUGCUUCGUUGGCUGGAAGUUUAAGCCUAGUGAGGUGAUGAAAUCCAUUCAGUGUUAUUACAUACCUUGCACAUUCAGUGCUAUUAUAUAUCCUGUAUAGGCAAGUCUCUUGGUUUGACAUCUGAGUCUUCUCUUGGCAAGUGAUAAUUCUGUGUGUUGUUGAAGUAGUUGAUGUGGGAACGUGAACAAAAUUAAACUAGAUGCCCAAAGAAAAACAAUGCUGUAAUGUCUGGUUCGCAUUCAGAUAUUACUGUUAUGUAGACUGACUUUUUUUUUUAAAGAUAUGCGUUAAGUACAGCACCUCUUUUGAAGAUCAUAGUCUUUAAAAAAGCAUUCAGAUGGGUGUGGUAAUUUUAGUAUUUUAUAUACAAAGAAACUGAAAGUCAAGAGAGGGUAUGGACUUUUACUAGACCAUCUAAUGGGUUAUUCUGGCCGGAGCACUCAGAAGUUUGACAUCAGGCCAGACACCAUGUAAUACAGGAGUGGAACCCCCUUUCUAAGAAAGAUGUACUGUAACUCCUCGUGUUCUGGGACUGUGUAAGCUCUGCCACCCUUCAUGUUCAUGAUGUUAUUGAAAAUAGAACCAUUUGCAAAAUGGUUCACUAUCAC
Cygnus olor (mute swan) is the source of this 2134-nucleotide long non-coding RNA. RefSeq lists it as uncharacterized. The transcript is spliced from 2 exons. The record is from RefSeq and is a predicted model, not a curated record. NCBI's taxonomy places the organism in Eukaryota, Metazoa, Chordata, Aves, Anseriformes, Anatidae.